CGCGUGAGCAACAUGCCCGUAGGUGGAGGAUAGUCGAAUGGAAACGUCGUGUAAUACUCCGUAACAACAGUUCCCGCAUGAGGAUUGUUUAAUAGAUUCAUUGCCUACGGAUUGGCUCGCGUACCAUUAGGUAGUUGGUGAGGUAACGGCCCACCAAGCCGACGAUGGUUAGGGGUUCUGAGAGGAAGGUCCCCCACAUUGGAACUGAGACACGGUCCAGACUCCUACGGGAGGCAGCAGUGAGGAAUAUUGGUCAAUGGCCGGAAGGCUGAACCAGCCAUGCCGCGUGCGGGAAGACGGCCCCCUAUGGGUUGUAAACCGCUUUUGUGUGGGAGCAAUAAGCAUCACGUGUGAUGCGAUGAGAGUACCAUACGAAUAAGCAUCGGCUAACUCCGUGCCAGCCGCCGC
RNAcentral lists this ribosomal RNA (408 nucleotides) under uncultured bacterium. RNAcentral's name for it is "bacterial SSU rRNA". It matches the Rfam family "Bacterial small subunit ribosomal RNA", at positions 114 to 518 of the family's 1533-position model. The record is from RNAcentral.